ACAGGUUUCAUGGCCUUGAGCGAUCCCCCUGCCGCAGCCUCCUGAGCAGCUUGGACAGUGGGUAUGGCCAUCUCUCCGUUUGGCCCUGGGCUUCUCUACUCUGGUUUCACGUCCACAUGUCUACCACCCAGCACGUACCCUGUGGCAGUGUAUGCUCAGGUUGGUUUCUGGAUGCUCCCCGAUGGAGGUCUCUAUUUUGCUUGGAACAGGGGACUCCAGAUGCCUCCCAGUGUGGCAACCAGAGAUGUCUCCUCACGUGACCAGAAGCCAUUGGUGCAGUUGAGAACCAGAACUCAGUCUUAUGGCCACACUCGAUUGCAGUGGAGGCUGAGAAACCUUGACUCCAGUCUCCUAGGAAAGAGAAAAAGUACCUGAGGGGCUGCUGGCCAGUCUCGUUCACAAUGACCUGCUGCUGCUGCUGCUGCUGCUGCGAUACCCAUGCCUGUUACAGAGCCAGAGAGAGAGAGAGAGAGAGGAAGUGAGAAUAUGAUUGAUGGGAUGUUAGAUCUCGGUACAGUGACAAGGACAGAGAACCGCAUUCCUGUUCUGUGGCAUCUACUGUCCGUGAGUGGAUAAAUGGCGGAGACGAUGUCACAGCAAAGGAGGAGACAGCCAUGUUUAGAGUCUACUUUGGAGUCUACAACCCUUUUAAAGACAGGAGAUUUCCGGACAGGCAACGGAGAGCUGUGGAUGGAGUCUCUUCUGGAAGGUCUGUGGAGGUGUGAAGGCACAGGU
Molecule: long non-coding RNA, 735 nt
Organism: Peromyscus californicus insignis
Lineage: Eukaryota; Metazoa; Chordata; Mammalia; Rodentia; Cricetidae
Exons: 4
Source: RefSeq, a predicted model, not a curated record